Molecule: ribosomal RNA, 453 nt
Filed under: Streptococcus mitis
Lineage: Bacteria; Bacillati; Bacillota; Bacilli; Lactobacillales; Streptococcaceae
Description: bacterial SSU rRNA
Rfam family: Bacterial small subunit ribosomal RNA
Source: RNAcentral
GACGAACGCUGGCGGCGUGCCUAAUACAUGCAAGUAGAACGCUGAAGGAGGAGCUUGCUUCUCCGGAUGAGUUGCGAACGGGUGAGUAACGCGUAGGUAACCUGCCUGGUAGCGGGGGAUAACUAUUGGAAACGAUAGCUAAUACCGCAUAAGAGUAGAUGUUGCAUGACAUUUGCUUAAAAGGUGCAAUUGCAUCACUACCAGAUGGACCUGCGUUGUAUUAGCUAGUUGGUGGGGUAACGGCUCACCAAGGCGACGAUACAUAGCCGACCUGAGAGGGUGAUCGGCCACACUGGGACUGAGACACGGCCCAGACUCCUACGGGAGGCAGCAGUAGGGAAUCUUCGGCAAUGGGGGGAACCCUGACCGAGCAACGCCGCGUGAGUGAAGAAGGUUUUCGGAUCGUAAAGCUCUGUUGUAAGAGAAGAACGGGUGUGAGAGUGGAAAGUUCAC